This 646-nucleotide ribosomal RNA is filed under the name Raoultella sp. Its description in RNAcentral is "bacterial SSU rRNA". It matches the Rfam family "Bacterial small subunit ribosomal RNA", at positions 86 to 728 of the family's 1533-position model. Lineage: Bacteria; Pseudomonadati; Pseudomonadota; Gammaproteobacteria; Enterobacterales; Enterobacteriaceae. The record is from RNAcentral.
GGGUGACGAGCGGCGGACGGGUGAGUAAUGUCUGGGAAACUGCCUGAUGGAGGGGGAUAACUACUGGAAACGGUAGCUAAUACCGCAUAACGUCGCAAGACCAAAGUGGGGGACCUUCGGGCCUCAUGCCAUCAGAUGUGCCCAGAUGGGAUUAGCUAGUAGGUGGGGUAAUGGCUCACCUAGGCGACGAUCCCUAGCUGGUCUGAGAGGAUGACCAGCCACACUGGAACUGAGACACGGUCCAGACUCCUACGGGAGGCAGCAGUGGGGAAUAUUGCACAAUGGGCGCAAGCCUGAUGCAGCCAUGCCGCGUGUAUGAAGAAGGCCUUCGGGUUGUAAAGUACUUUCAGCGAGGAGGAAGGCAUUAAGGUUAAUAACCUUAGUGAUUGACGUUACUCGCAGAAGAAGCACCGGCUAACUCCGUGCCAGCAGCCGCGGUAAUACGGAGGGUGCAAGCGUUAAUCGGAAUUACUGGGCGUAAAGCGCACGCAGGCGGUUUGUUAAGUCAGAUGUGAAAUCCCCGGGCUCAACCUGGGAACUGCAUUUGAAACUGGCAAGCUUGAGUCUUGUAGAGGGGGGUAGAAUUCCAGGUGUAGCGGUGAAAUGCGUAGAGAUCUGGAGGAAUACCGGUGGCGAAGGCGGCCCC